AGCGUUGUUCGGAAUUACUGGGCGUAAAGCGCACGUAGGCGGUUUUUUAAGUCAGAGGUGAAAGCCCGGGGCUCAACCCCGGAAUAGCCUUUGAAACUGGAGAACUUGAAUCUUGGAGAGGUCAGUGGAAUUCCGAGUGUAG
RNAcentral lists this ribosomal RNA (142 nucleotides) under uncultured Alphaproteobacteria bacterium. RNAcentral's name for it is "partial 16S ribosomal RNA". It matches the Rfam family "Bacterial small subunit ribosomal RNA", at positions 537 to 678 of the family's 1533-position model. The record is from RNAcentral. Lineage: Bacteria; Pseudomonadati; Pseudomonadota; Alphaproteobacteria.